UACGUAGGGUGCGAGCGUUAAUCGGAUUUACUGGGCGUAAAGCGUGCGCAGGCGGCCCGUUAAGACAGGUGUGAAAUCCCUGGGCUCAACCUAGGAAUUGCGCUUGUGACUGGCGGGCUCGAGUACGGUAGAGGGGGGUGGAGUUCCUGGUGUAGCAGUGAAAUGCGUAGAGAUCAGGAGGAACACCGAUGGCGAAGGCAGCCCCCUGGGCCUGUACUGACGCUCAUGCACGAAAGCGUGGGGAGCAAACAGG
RNAcentral lists this ribosomal RNA (253 nucleotides) under uncultured microorganism. RNAcentral describes it as "partial 16S ribosomal RNA". It matches the Rfam family "Bacterial small subunit ribosomal RNA", at positions 524 to 776 of the family's 1533-position model. The record is from RNAcentral.